UGCGUGUCACCACCAUGUGGGACCGAGGUGUAAGACCUGUCUUCUCCCAACAGAUCCGCACCAUUGCGCCAGGUUCCGGGCGGGUUGUUGAAUCCAAUCGCUGUGGUCAGGAUUUGGUGGGCCCGAGUCGAUCCCCUUGCGCCUAUAAAUACUCGAGCCACGACCCCCUCUCCAUAUCCGUCUGCAUCGACGCUGUCGACCACAAUCGUUGCCGCAAAGCGCCGCUGCGACUUCACCUCAACAUUGUGGGAGCUCGGAGUCGACCAACUGUGCAGGAAGGUUCACUGGAAGGUGAAGAUCGCGGGCGUGAGGGAUUUGGACCUCGGGAGGUCUCGGUGGCUCAGUGAUUGCUCGCCAGAAAUAUUCUCCACCACGGAUUCGCCCCCCAUCGCGGUCAGAGACCAUCGUUUCGUUACCUCCGGUGCGUAGUCUUUGACCGUACUCAUCAUAGUCUCCACAUCGUGUACCACCGUUUGAUUCCAUGGUUGGGACAAGAACUAGCUGGGCGGAUGCUUCGCCAGUGGCACCGUCGUGCUCGUGCCCCGGCGUUGUGUGCCGGCGGUCGAAGGAGCAAGAUGAGAGAGAGAUGCGAGGGCUGUCCAUGGCCGUUGAUCUGGCCGGGGCCGGCUGAGAUCAAGUCGAGGGAUAAUGAUUCAGCGUUCGGAAUCUCGACCGUCCGAUCGUGGUGGGGUGUGUGAGAUUAGAUCGUGAAGUAAUGAACCCGAGUCGUUGGAUAUUGAUGGGUGGUCCAGAUUAAAUCCAGCCAUACCCUUCACCUCGUCGCUUACUAACCAUUGAUCCUAGAAUAGGCGGUGGAGAUUAGUGUGAGGAUAACGUUUCGACUCGAUUGCAAUAUGACCGUUAGAUCUAGAUCUGAGGGAUGUUAUCGCGUACCCGUUCAUAUUUGUGGCGUUAUGAUCUGGGCCAUUGGUUCAGAUCUGACGAUCAAUAUCCACCGAUACCCCUUCGGUGGGGCGGUUGUCUAAAGAAGCCCCUGGGCUUAAUGGGAAUCAACCCGCCGUCCACCGUAGUUUAAUUAAUAUUGCAGAUUGACCCUUUUCUUUCGAAUGGGCCCCUGAACUUGUAGAAAAUGAUGAUUACAGUCCAUAAGUCAUCAGGAAAAUGGUAAAUUAAUUGAGAAAAAAAGAUUUCUAGUAUAAUAAUAAUUCCGGAAGCUUGUUUAAUUCAUCUUAGCUCCUUUUUGAUCCAUUCCAGUUGCAUUAGAUCCAUAAUAAUAUUGUUUAUCCCCUGGUGGCUUUAUAUUGUUAUGAAACCUAAAACAAAAUGUAUGUACUUAAUCUCUUUUAUACCCCACUCCUAAAUCUUUAGAAAAUCAUAACUUUAUAACCGUAGCUCCGAAUUUAGUGAUUCUCGAGCCCAUGAUCUCGUAGCAUCGCGUAGAAUAUUAUUAUGCAGUUUGUGCUUAUGGUUGGUGAGAUGUUAGUUUUGCCUAUACCAUGUUUGUUUGUAUUGCUACACAUAGGAGUGAGGUCACGAGAAUCUGAAGAUCAUCCUGGUAGUUGGGAAUCUUGAGUCUCAGGCAAGUUGUGCCCUUGAUCACUUAUUUUUACCUAAUAAUGUUUACUGUUAAUCACCGUGACAUGUUUAGGUUAAUUUGAUGGGACCUAAUAGGUUUCCCUAGCAUUGUUUAUCCCCCACCUUACAAACAGAUGAAUUAUUGGGUAGAUUUGCUAUUGCUCUACCUGGUUUUGGGAAACUAAUGUUUUAUUAUGAUCAUGUUACAAUUAUGUUGUUUAAUUAUUGUUCAUGGUAAGAUCAUAUUGUUAAUUGGAACAUGGAGAACCACCCGGAAAAAUAGUGCUACCGACGCCCUUGGCUGACUAAUUAGGAAAGCUAGUGGAGGACUACCUUACCCGAAAGGGGGAAGGGCAGUAGGGGAGUGGUCGGUAUAGGGAGGUCCUCAGGCUGAUUUUGCUGCGAUGGCUUUUCAGACGGGGGAUUCCUAUAUUGCGCUUCCUAGAACUGUAGCGGGUUUUCUGAAGCUAGUGGAACUUUGUAAAGGUCUCGUAGUGGUACCCUGUCUCGCUUCCUUAGUAGAGGUGUAUGGGAUCUGAUCAACCUCGUGGCAAAUGGGUAACACGACUUGUGGGUAAAGAUGCACAACCUCUGCAAAGUGUAAAACUGGUAUAUCAGCUGUGCUCACGGUCAUGAGCGGCUCGGACACUCACAUGAUUAACUUAUGGAAUUAAACUCAAUUUGUCAUUUGCAUUGCAUUGUGGGUGUUGUUAUUAACAUUGAUUUCUUAUUUAAUUGGGUUGGUAUCUACUUAUACUUAGUAACUGCUAAUAAAAUUUUGACCAACUUUAAAAGCAAUGCUCAGCUUUAACCAUCCUCUUUGGUAAGCCUUACACUUCACCUGAGCUCCCACCUUUUGUGAGUUCAUGCACAUUAUUCCCCAAAACUUGUUGAGCGAUGAACGUAUGUGAGCUCACCCUUCCUGUACUCAUAUCCCCCAGGUCAAGGACAGGUACCACAGGAUGAGGCGCAUGGAGGAUGCUAUGAUGAGUUCGUGAGAGGUCUAGGCCGUCGUCUCCCAGUCAACUUUGGUUGAUGGAUCGUUGUCUUCGUAUGAUGUAAUUAUUUAAUGAUUUUGUACAGAACUCCAUUAUAUAUUAAUGUUGUGACAUUCGUUUCUGUACCAUGAAUCAUCAUAUGUGUAAGACUUGAUCCUAGCACACUUGGUGAUUAUCUCACGCCCGGGUUUUGGGUCUGGGUGUGACAGAAUUGGUAUUAGAGCGAAUGUUGACUGUAGGACGAAACUUAGAUAGAAAUGGACAACCCUUACCUACUUACCUUAGUUACUCUGAUUCUUUCUAAACUUUUCUUAAUCUUUUCUCACCUACUGUUGCUUUACUCUGAUUACUCUUACCUUUUCGCUUCUAAAGACAAAAGUGGAUUCCACACUUUGAAAUGAUGUACCUAAAGCGACCUUUAGGAAUAGGAGACCUAAUCUUCGGAACAAAAAACAAAACUAU
Molecule: long non-coding RNA, 2996 nt
Filed under: Zea mays
Lineage: Eukaryota; Viridiplantae; Streptophyta; Magnoliopsida; Poales; Poaceae
Description: long non-coding RNA (ZMAY_LNC002491)
Source: RNAcentral